AGAGCUUGCUCUCUGGGUGGCGAGUGGCGGACGGGUGAGGAAUACAUCGGAAUCUACUUUUUCGUGGGGGAUAACGUAGGGAAACUUACGCUAAUACCGCAUACGACCUACGGGUGAAAGCAGGGGAUCUUCGGACCUUGCGCGAUUGAAUGAGCCGAUGUCGGAUUAGCUAGUUGGCGGGGUAAAGGCCCACCAAGGCGACGAUCCGUAGCUGGUCUGAGAGGAUGAUCAGCCACACUGGAACUGAGACACGGUCCAGACUCCUACGGGAGGCAGCAGUGGGGAAUAUUGGACAAUGGGCGCAAGCCUGAUCCAGCCAUACCGCGUGGGUGAAGAAGGCCUUCGGGUUGUAAAGCCCUUUUGUUGGGAAAGAAAUCCAGCUGGCUAAUACCCGGCUGGGAUGACGGUACCCAAAGAAUAAGCACCGGCUAACUUCGUGCCAGCAGCCGCGGUAAUACGAAGGGUGCAAGCGUUACUCGGAAUUACUGGGCGUAAAGCGUGCGUAGGUGGUCGUUUAAGUCCGUUGUGAAAGCCCUGGGCUCAACCUGGGAACUGCAGUGGAUACUGGACGACUAGAGUGUGGUAGAGGGUAGCGGAAUUCCUGGUGUAGCAGUGAAAUGCGUAGAGAUCAGGAGGAACAUCCAUGGCGAAGGCAGCUAUCUGGACCAACACUGACACUGAGGCACGAAAGCGUGGGGAGCAAACAGGAUUAGAUAACCUGGUAGUCCACGCCCUAAACGAUGCGAACUGGAUGUUGGGUGCAAUUUGGCACGCAGUAUCGAAGCUA
This 787-nucleotide ribosomal RNA is filed under the name uncultured Stenotrophomonas bacterium. RNAcentral's name for it is "bacterial SSU rRNA". It matches the Rfam family "Bacterial small subunit ribosomal RNA", at positions 75 to 854 of the family's 1533-position model. Lineage: Bacteria; Pseudomonadati; Pseudomonadota; Gammaproteobacteria; Lysobacterales; Lysobacteraceae. The record is from RNAcentral.